CGGGUCGGGACGCGGCGAGCGGAGUUUGCUGUGCUUUAGUUUGCUGUUGACUCGUGUUUCCGUGCUCCUUGUUGCAAUGAGCUUUCUCAAAAGUUUCCCGCCGCCUGGGUCGGCUGAGGGGCUCCGGCAGCAGCAGCCAGAUACUGAGGCCGUGCUGAACGGGAAAAGCCUUGGCACCGGCACCCUUUAUAUCGCUGAGAGCCGCCUGUCUUGGUUAGAUGGCUCUGGAUUAGGAUUCUCACUGGAAUACCCCACCAUUAGUUUGCAUGCGGUGUCCAGGGACCUAAAUGCCUAUCCACGAGAGCAUUUGUAUGUUAUGGUGAACGCCAAAUUUGGAGAAGAAUCAAAAGAAUCUGUUGCUGAUGAAGAAGAGGAAGACAGUGAUGAUGAUAUUGAACCUAUUGCUGAAUUUAGAUUUGUGCCUAGUGAUAGAUCAGCCUUGGAGGCCAUGUUCACUGCAAUGUGUGAAUGCCAGGCUUUGCAUCCAGAUCCUGAGGAUGAAGAUUCAGAUGAUUACGAUGGAGAAGAAUAUGAUGUGGAAGCACAUGAACAAGGGCAGGGGGACAUCCCUACAUUUUAUACCUAUGAAGAAGGAUUAUCCCAUUUAACAGCAGAAGGCCAAGCCACACUGGAGAGAUUAGAAGGAAUGCUUUCUCAGUCUGUAAGCAGCCAGUAUAACAUGGCUGGAGUCCGGACAGAAGAUUCAAUAAGAGAUUAUGAAGAUGGGAUGGAGGUAGAUACUACACCAACAGUUGCUGGACAGUUUGAGGAUGCAGAUGUUGAUCAUUGAAAAUGACUGAUGCUGCUUUAGGACUAUUCAGAGAACACCAACUACUCUACUAAUAAGAUUGAGAAACUUAUUUGAUUCUGCUCAUAACUGUAGGAGAGAACUUGGUGCCUCUUCCACUGUGGAGUGGGUAUUGAUGAAAGUCUUUUUCCUUCUCCAAAACUUACCUGAACCAGUUCUUUCUUGAGACACAUUAUACUGAGACAACAAGUUGUCACCAGCACAAGAAACUAUGACCUUUAUUAACAAAGGUGAAUUAACUUAACCAAGAGGGUAUUUGUAGUUUAUCAUUUACUCCAACACUUUGUGUCUAGGUGUACCCUCUGUAGGCUUAUAAUUGCUGCCUUACUAUAUGCAUCCUCAUAACCUAGCAGGACCACAUGGUGGAAAUGCACUGGCACUUGAAGGUGUAGGUAGACUGCAUGGGAAAGAGAGGGGCUGAAUACAAGAUAUACACCUUAGGGCCUAAGAAUACCCUUACUCCUUAAAAAAAGAAAAACAGAUAAAUCCUGGCACAGUCUCCACAGGGAUAAAGGUCUUUUUACUAAUUGGGAACCCAGAUUAAUUAACUCUAGGGAGCCUUUUCAGAAACAGCCCAGCCACACAUACUACCACUAACACAAGUGCUUUUGCCUAGCCUUUGCUCCUUUCACCAUGUUUCACCAGUCUGUUCUCUUAUAACCUCUUAGGUUAUAUCCUUUCAUUUCCAACCUCUUAGGUCAGUUUCUGUAAAAGAACAAGUGAAAUUGGGAUGAAGUUCUCAAAGUACUUCAGAUAAUUGUUUUGUCUUUGUAAUAGCUUAACAAAUAAAUCUAGGUUUUCUA
Molecule: RNA transcript, 1611 nt
Organism: Balaenoptera acutorostrata (minke whale)
Lineage: Eukaryota; Metazoa; Chordata; Mammalia; Artiodactyla; Balaenopteridae
Gene: CLNS1A
Gene name: chloride nucleotide-sensitive channel 1A
Exons: 8
Source: RefSeq, a predicted model, not a curated record